AGGUCAUUUGUUCUUAUUGUCAUACACUUUUGUGCUAAUGGCCCAAAAAAAAGUUGUGCUUCUUAUCUACAUUGGGAUGAUCAUCAUGUUUGCUUCGGUUGCGGAUGGACAAGCCACUCAACUCUCUGUUACAUGUCCUAACACUGGUUUUGAUUGCUACAAACACUGUAUUAUAAGUUGUUACUAUCAAAACUUACCUGUUCACCGCCC
Molecule: long non-coding RNA, 210 nt
Filed under: Lupinus angustifolius (narrow-leaved blue lupine)
Lineage: Eukaryota; Viridiplantae; Streptophyta; Magnoliopsida; Fabales; Fabaceae
Description: long non-coding RNA (LANG_LNC002581)
Source: RNAcentral